GCCGGAGUAGCUCAACUGGUAGAGCAACUGACUUGUAAUCAGUAGGUUGAGGGUUCAAGUCCUUUCUCCGGCACCA
Molecule: transfer RNA, 76 nt
Filed under: Planomicrobium okeanokoites
Lineage: Bacteria; Bacillati; Bacillota; Bacilli; Caryophanales; Caryophanaceae
Also listed under: 137 other names
Description: tRNA-Thr (TGT) (tRNA-Thr-TGT-1-1, tRNA-Thr-TGT-1-2)
Rfam family: tRNA
About the family: Transfer RNA (tRNA) molecules are approximately 80 nucleotides in length. Their secondary structure includes four short double-helical elements and three loops (D, anti-codon, and T loops).
Source: RNAcentral